This 761-nucleotide ribosomal RNA is filed under the name uncultured bacterium. RNAcentral's name for it is "bacterial SSU rRNA". It matches the Rfam family "Bacterial small subunit ribosomal RNA", at positions 71 to 849 of the family's 1533-position model. The record is from RNAcentral.
UGAAACCUGUUGAUGUAUGGAUUAGUGGCGGACGGGUGAGUAACGCGUGGAUAACCUGCCGUAUACAGGGGGAUAACACUUAGAAAUAGGUGCUAAUACCGCAUAAGCGCACGGUUCCGCGUGGAACAGUGUGAAAAACUCCGGUGGUAUACGAUGGAUCCGCGUCUGAUUAGCCAGUUGGCGGGGUAACGGCCCACCAAAGCGACGAUCAGUAGCCGGCCUGAGAGGGUGAACGGCCACAUUGGGACUGAGACACGGCCCAAACUCCUACGGGAGGCAGCAGUGGGGAAUAUUGCACAAUGGGGGAAACCCUGAUGCAGCGACGCCGCGUGAGUGAAGAAGUAUCUCGGUACGUAAAGCUCUAUCAGCAGGGAAGAAAAUGACGGUACCUGACUAAGAAGCCCCGGCUAACUACGUGCCAGCAGCCGCGGUAAUACGUAGGGGGCAAGCGUUAUCCGGAUUUACUGGGUGUAAAGGGAGCGUAGACGGCAGCGCAAGUCUGGAGUGAAAUGCCGGGGCUCAACCCCGGAACUGCUUUGGAAACUGUGCAGCUCGAGUGCAGGAGAGGUAAGCGGAAUUCCUAGUGUAGCGGUGAAAUGCGUAGAUAUUAGGAGGAACACCAGUGGCGAAGGCGGCUUACUGGACUGUAACUGACGUUGAGGCUCGAAAGCGUGGGGAGCAAACAGGAUUAGAUACCCUGGUAGUCCACGCCGUAAACGAUGAUUACUAGGUGUCGGGGGGCCAAGGCCCUCCGGUGCCGC